This 613-nucleotide ribosomal RNA is filed under the name uncultured archaeon. Its description in RNAcentral is "bacterial SSU rRNA". It matches the Rfam family "Archaeal small subunit ribosomal RNA", at positions 302 to 918 of the family's 1478-position model. The record is from RNAcentral.
CCUGAGACACGGACCCAGCCCCUAUGGGCGCAGCAAGGCGAGAAACCUUUGCAAUGUGCGAAAGCACGACAAGGUUAAUCCGAGUGUCUCCUGCUAAAGGAGUCUUUUGUCAGUUGUAGAAUCACUGGUGAAUAAGGGGUGGGCAAGUUCUGGUGUCAGCCGCCGCGGUAAAACCAGCACCUCGAGUGGUCAGGAGGUUUAUUGGGCCUAAAGCAUCCGUAGCCGGUUGCAUAAGUUUUCGGUUAAAUCUAUGCGCUUAACGUAUAGGCCGCCGAAAAUACUGUGCAGCUAGGGAGUGGGAGAGGUACACGGUACUCGAUAGGAAGGGGUAAAAUCCUUUGAUCUAUUGAAGACCACCUGUGGCGAAGGCGGUGUACCAGAACACGUUCGACGGUGAGGGAUGAAAGCUGGGGGAGCAAACCGGAUUAGAUACCCGGGUAGUCCCAGCUGUAAACGAUGCAGACUCGGUGAUGCAUUGGCUUGUGGCCAAUGCAGUGCCGCAGGGAAGCCGUUAAGUCUGCCGCCUGGGAAGUACGUACGCAAGUAUGAAACUUAAAGGAAUUGGCGGGGGAGCACCACAAGGGAUGAAGCCUGCGUUCAAUUGGAGUCACGC